This 67-nucleotide transfer RNA is filed under the name Pyrrhopeplus posthumus. RNAcentral describes it as "tRNA-Val". Lineage: Eukaryota; Metazoa; Arthropoda; Insecta; Hemiptera; Pyrrhocoridae. The record is from RNAcentral.
CAAGUUAUUCUUAGUGAGGUUAUUAUUUACAAUAAUAUUUAUAGUUGUGCGAUUCAACUUAACUUGA